RNAcentral lists this ribosomal RNA (405 nucleotides) under uncultured bacterium. Its description in RNAcentral is "partial 16S ribosomal RNA". It matches the Rfam family "Bacterial small subunit ribosomal RNA", at positions 30 to 526 of the family's 1533-position model. The record is from RNAcentral.
AUUGAACGCUGGCGGCAGGCUUAACACAUGCAAGUCGAACGAGUGGCGGACGGGUGAGUAAUGCUUGGGAAUCUAGCUUAUGGAGGGGGAUAACUACGGGAAACUGUAGCUAAUACCGCGUACCAUAGGAUGAGCCCAAGUGGGAUUAGGUAGUUGGUGAGGUAAAGGCUCACCAAGCCGACGAUCUCUAGCUGGUCUGAGAGGAUGACCAGCAACUCUGGGACUGAGACACGGCCCAGACUCCACCGGGAGGCGGCAGUGGGGAAUAUUGCGCAAUGGGGGCAACCUGACGCAGCCAUGCGGCGGGAAUGUAGAAGGCCUUCGGGUUGUAAGGUUCUUUAGGUAGCAAGGCGUUAACUACAGAGGAAGCAACGGCUAACUCCGUGCCAGCAGCCGCGGUAAUUC